UGGAAACUGUNUGACUUGAGUGCAGAAGGGGAGAGUGGAAUUCCAUGUGUAGCGGUGAAAUGCGUAGAUAUAUGGAGGAACACCAGUGGCGAAAGCGGCUCUCUGGUCUGUCACUGACGCUGAGGCUCGAAAGCGUGGGUAGCGAACAGGAUUAGAUACCCUGGUAGUCCACGCCGUAAACGAUGAGUGCUAGGUGUUAGGCCCUUUCCGGGGCUUAGUGCCGGAGCUAACGCAAUAAGCACUCCGCCUGGGGAGUACGACCGCAAGGUUGAAACUCAAAGGAAUUGACGGGGGCCCGCACAAGCGGUGGAGCAUGUGGUUUAAUUCGAAGCAACGCGAAGAACCUUACCAGGUCUUGACAUCCCGAUGCUAUUCUUAGAGAUAGGAAGUUACUUCGGUACAUCGGAGACAGGUGGUGCAUGGUUGUCGUCAGCUCGUGUCGUGAGAUGUUGGGUUAAGUCCCGCAACGAGCGCAACCCUUAUUGUUAGUUGCCAUCAUUAAGUUGGGCACUCUAGCGAGACUGCCGGUAAUAAACCGGAGGAAGGUGGGGAUGACGUCAAAUCAUCAUGCCCCUUAUGACCUGGGCUACACACGUGCUACAAUGGUCGGUACAACGAGUUGCGAGCCGGUGACGGCAAGCUAAUCUCUGAAAGCCGAUCUCAGUUCGGAUUGGAGGCUGCAACUCGCCUCCAUGAAGUCGGAAUCGCUAGUAAUCGCGGAUCAGCACGCCGCGGUGAAUACGUUCCCGGGCCUUGUACACACCGCCCGUCACACCACGAGAGUUUGUAACACCCGAAGUCGGUGAGGUAACCUUUUAGGGGCCAGCCGCCUAAGGUGGGANGGA
This 845-nucleotide ribosomal RNA is filed under the name uncultured bacterium. RNAcentral describes it as "bacterial SSU rRNA". It matches the Rfam family "Bacterial small subunit ribosomal RNA", at positions 627 to 1471 of the family's 1533-position model. The record is from RNAcentral.